Mycena vulgaris is the source of this 96-nucleotide non-coding RNA. The record is from the annotation of a GenBank genome assembly. Lineage: Eukaryota; Fungi; Basidiomycota; Agaricomycetes; Agaricales; Mycenaceae.
GACCUGAUAGCACAAGGUAGUGCCUCUGCUUCAAUUGGGUUUGUUCAAGUGAAACCAUGUAACCAGAUGAUCCGCGUUCGACUCGCGGUCAGGUCA